GCCAGCAGCCAUAUCGCAACUGGCAGCCCACUGAAGCUCAGCAGGUGUGAGCCUGGUCAGUACCUGGAUGGGAGACCUCCUGGGGAAAACUAAGGUUGCUGCUGGAA
This 107-nucleotide ribosomal RNA is filed under the name Lepisosteus oculatus (spotted gar). Lineage: Eukaryota; Metazoa; Chordata; Actinopteri; Semionotiformes; Lepisosteidae. The record is from RNAcentral.